Brassica oleracea var. oleracea is the source of this 1012-nucleotide long non-coding RNA. RefSeq lists it as uncharacterized. The transcript is spliced from 5 exons. The record is from RefSeq and is a predicted model, not a curated record. Lineage: Eukaryota; Viridiplantae; Streptophyta; Magnoliopsida; Brassicales; Brassicaceae.
UUCUAAUACAUUAUGAUUCGAGUCCCUCUCUGUGUGUGUUCAGAGCUGUCUGAUAAUCAUUUGCAGAUUUCGUCCAUCUCCGAGACUCAGGCGAGUCAGCCUCUUCUGUCUGUCGGUUUCACCAUCAUCUCAUCCCCUUUAUUCUCCACCGACAAUCCGAAUCUGGGCACAAUCUUCGUCUCCUACAAAAAAUAAAAAAUCGGUUUCGUCUGAUCGCGAUGCAUGCUCUCAAGGACAAGGUCUCGCAGAAGCUUUCGAAUCCCUUCGCCGAUUCCGCUAGUUCUCCUGGCUAUUCUCUCACCGAUUCUCCAAAGGCCAGGCUAGAUUCAAGUUCUCGGGGAAAACAUUUUCUUCCUAUUUCCCAUUUGGUGUUCGUCAAUCUGGAAAUGAGAAUGAGGAGGAGGAGUCUGAAUCAUGUCCUCCCAAACAUGGAAAUGGGAAACACCAAGCUGCGACAAUGAUCUCGAGUGGCCAAGACAAGGACAGUGAGUUACAUGUUUCUGUCAAAGUAGAAAGCGAUUACAAUGAAGGGGUGAAGUAGAUAGCAGAGUUAACAGAAAGCUCUGCUUUUAUCUCUGCUGACUUGUUUGAGUUCUUGCACUCGUGUCUUCCAAACAUCGUAAGAGGUUGCAAAUGGAUCUUGUUAUAUAGGUGCCAACCGAUAUUACUAUAUGUGAAUGAAUGAAUUAUUGGCGUUUGGAGGUGGGGGAAGCUUUGCUCUAUGUUUAGACGAAGAUUUGUUGAAAGCAACAAGUGGGCCUUCUGAAACAUUUGGGAACGAAUGCUUGGCUAGCAGCACUGAAUUUGAGUUAAAGAAUGUCGAGCUCUGGGGAUUUGCACAUGCGUCUCAAUACCUCUUCUCAUGAACUUGAAGAUCCCUUUCUUGGUCGAGAAUCGAUAUACCUCAAUAGAAAGCUUAUCCAUCUUUUUAAUUCCGUUAAUUGUUUCAAAAGUUAUGAAUAGGUUUUGUACCUGUGUUACUGAGACUACUAAUUCAGCUGUGAUAUUUUUU